RNA transcript from Armigeres subalbatus, 1081 nucleotides. RefSeq lists it as uncharacterized. The transcript is spliced from 3 exons. Lineage: Eukaryota; Metazoa; Arthropoda; Insecta; Diptera; Culicidae. The record is from RefSeq and is a predicted model, not a curated record.
UUACAAAAGCAGAUAAGUCGUUUUGAAAAGUUUGUCUUGAUAUAUGUGUUCAAUUGGAUUUGUGUUUACAUCUUUUCACUUCAUCGCGAAGGAAAAACCUCGGGAAAAACUAUUUCAUAAUUCAUUAAUAACUAAAAUAUAUUUUAUUUGAAAUGAUUCGGCGGUCUUUUUUAAAAUAUUUUCUCGCCUCGAAGAUGUUUUUUUUUGCAGUGUGGUGAGAUUGUUUAAUGAAAAAUAGAAGAAGAAAAAACAAAAUAUAAACAACUCUCGGUGAUUGCGGCGGCCGUAAUGCAACCCCGGCACCUGUUAUCUGGUGAUAGCGACGGUAAUACCCCAGAAGUUCCGUCGGAUGCCAAGCAGUUGCACGAGUAAGCGCAUCAACUUAUCCCAAUCGCUUUUGGGAACCGGAAUUAAGUGGUAAGGUUUGAGGCAACAUAUCUUCAUUCUCGGAUGCGCCGCGUACUCAUUAAAUCGACGUGUACUUGGUCCACCCACCAAGCUCGCUGGAUUGCUGUUCGGCGUUCUUGCAACUGCCCUGUCCAUCGUACCCCUCCAGCUUUUCUGGAUACUGCGUUCGUCGUAGAGUUAGACGAGCUCGUGGUUUAUCUUUCGUCGCCAGACAUCGUUCUCUUGCACAUCGCCAAAGAGGAUACUAAGCAUGUAUAUCAGCGACGAGCGCUAAACAUUGCUGAACGCCGCCUACAACGUACUCUCUCAAAUUUUAUGCCUUCGACUGAUACCAAUUGCAAGAGAGUUCGUGGGGCAGCACCAGGCGGGAUUAUGGGCGGACCAGACCAGGUGUUCACCGUACGCCAGAUAUCGCAGAAAUGCCUUGAAUACAAUGUACCCACGCAUCAUCUAUUCAUCGACUUCAAAGCCGCUAACACAUGAACACGGAUUUCCGGAUAAGCUGAUACGGUUGAUCAAGGACGAUGGAUUGGUUGAUGUGCAUAGUUCGAGUUCCGGGGGCAUUCUCGAGUCCCUUUGAAACGCGCAAGAUGAUGGUCUUUCGUACCUGCUAUUCAACAACGCUUUGGAGGGAGUCAUACGAAGAUCAGGCAUUGACACGAGUGGUUCGAUU